GCAGAAGUUGACGGGCGCCAGGCCGGGCAGGUAGAAAGCGCCGCUCCGGCGCGGGCCAGGAACCGCCCCCAGCAGGAGCAGCGACAGCAGCAACAGCCGCGGCCACCGAGGUGGAGACAACACCGGCAGCCUCGCGCUCAUGAUAGUUGUUUCGGGGAAAGGGCAAUCAAACCUAGGGGGUCAAGAGGGAAGGAGGGGUGGGGAGUCUCGGAGACGACUACAAGGCCGCCAGAGAUAAAGGAAGCCGGCCCCCAGAAGGCUAGUUCCGGUUGCGCUAGGAGACACCCCGGGUCCCGCAACAGAAACCGAAGCGGACCGCAACAGAGCAUGCGCACCGCCGUCUGCACAUGCUCAGUGAGAACGGUCGCAGGCACCAGGAGGAGUUUCCGGGAGGGAGCGGGGGCGAAAUCCACUUUCCGGGUUUUCCGCGCGCCAGCUGAGGUGGUUGCUGGGAGAGGUGGUUGCUGGGAGAGCUGUUCCGGCGCUCACGUUCCAAUUCCAAAUUACAAAUUCCGAUCUAGAGCUCCCACGCUUGGGGGCUGUGGAGCGCUCGCCAGCCGCUCCCCGUUUGCUGCUGGGUCUUACGAAGUUCUCAUAUCCAUCAUACAGUUUCUUUGUCACACUGUCCGCGGCACGCCAGUCCCUAUGACAGAAAGCACCUGCGGUCUGUCUGGAGGCGGAGUUGGUGGCGGAGAGAAAAAGUUCUGGAGACACCUGGUUGGGAGCAGGCUAAGGAAACAAAUGGGGAGGAAUUAGCCACAAAUCCUCAAAUAGACAGCUACUCAAAGGCAUCUUCACGGACAAUUUCCAAGCAUUGGAUGCAGUGGUGCAUUCUUGCAUUGGGCAGUGAUUGUGUGCACACAUCUCUUUAAGGGAGAGUGGAAAUGGGGUGAGGAGGAAAAUGGGAGUAGGAUAGAGUGUAGCGUUGACAUUUAUUUUCUUUAAAGGAAGACCCGAGCAUACCUGAGAGCUCAGUGAAGAAAGUAGUUCUGGCGAAUCGGAUUAAUAUGCACCACUGAAACUUGACCUUCGGCCGGCGCGGUGGCUCACGCCUGUAAUCCCAGCACUUUGGGAGGCCGAGAUGGGCGGAUCACGAGGUCAGAAGAUCGAGACCAUCCUGGCUAACACGGUGAAACCCCGUCUCUACUAAAAAUACAAAAAAAUUAGCCGAGCGUGGUGGCGGGCUCCUGUAGUCCCAGCUACUUGGGAGGCUGAGGCAGGAGAAUGGCGUGAACCCGGGAGGCGGAGCUUGCGGUAAGCCGAGAUCGCGCCACUGCACUCCAGCCUGGGCGACUGAGCACGACUCCGUCUCAAAAAAAAAAAAAAAAAAACAAAAAAAAAACUUGACCUUCAUUAUAUCUCACUGCCCUCAUCCCAAACAUUUCCUCUCCCAGUUUUCCAGGAAACGGCAUCGCUGCCCAUCUCUUUUCAGGCCCCAACCCUGGAGAAGAACCUAAAUUUCUCAUUUCCUCACUACCUACCUCCAGUCCUUCAGCAGGUCCCGUUGGUUGGGCUGCUAAACUAUGGGCUAAAUCCUUUCAGUACUUUCCAUGCCCACAGCUACCACUCUGGUCCAAGCCAAAUUCUUAGUUCCCCUGGACUUCUUACUGCAGUAGCCUCUCAGCUUCCACUCUUGGCAAAAUCAAUUUUAUAAAACCUUGAAAUCCCUUAAUACCACUCGUCUGCUUAAACCUCGGCAUCCCACAUUUACCACUAUCAGGAAGGAUCACGUUUGUUUGUUUGCUGUCUCAUUCCCCCAUUUAUAUGUGAAUUCCACGGGUAAGGGCCUGCUCCUACAUCCCACACCUCUACAUCCACAGAGCCUAGAGACCGCAGGCGCGGGGAAAGCACUCCACGACCAUCACUGGCCAGGCCACAAGAGUGCUGGAUCUAAAUUUGGAACCGGACUUUCAGAGCUGAAAUAAACCUGAGGUUUUCCAGGGGCUUUUAACCUCCUUUUACAGCCAAGGAUGCGCCUAAGAAAGGGGAGAGGCUUCCGUGACUUCCUGCAGUAACGCAGCCACUAGAGAUUGAGACUACAACGACUUGGGAGUCUAAAAGUCUGCAACCUUUUCCACUCCAGAGCUCAAUGUUUCCUCAAUCCCCCGGGAUCGGCAUCAGCAAAAACCCGGAGAAGCGGAGCCUUUCUCAAAGAAAAUGACCUCCAGACUCAUGCUACCAUCUCGACCGGUGCAAGUAUCACGCAUGCGCAGGGCCGGCCGCCCGGCCGCACCUCGCCAACUCCUACUCGGACACGUCAUCUAGGUCGGCCUGGGUCUGGUGGGAGGGGCCGGGGGCGGGGCUCGUACGCGGGGCGAAGUGGUCCCCCUACUUCCGGAUCCGGCCUCACCUGGCCAACGCCUCAUUCGGGGUUCCUUGGUUACGUGGCUGCGGUGUCUACCCGGUGCUGGGGCGUGGCGGAGAGAGACCGCCCCGCCCUCCACGCAGGCCACAAAAUGGAGGCCCUGCCCUGUGGGCUUUUGUGGCCUGGGCGCUGUCGUGCCGAAAGACGAAAGUGACAAUUCCAGUUGCAAACUGGAAAGAAAUGGAGUUUUUCCUUCAUUCUCCCCAUGAUCGUGACGGUCCUUUUCUCAAAGUACUAAUACUUUUAAUGGGACUGUAAAACUUGAGGGAUAUGACUCUCUCCUCUCCUCUGCUUCAGAUUGCAUUUGCCAACUCUGAUUUACCGCCAAUACUAUGGUGCUGUCAUAUUCAUAGAGACAGAAAGUAGAGCAGUGGUUGUAGAGAGAGUCUGCAGAAGGAGGGAUGGGGAUUUACUGUUUAAUGGCAUACGGUUUCAGUAUGGGUUGGUGAAAAAGUUGGGAUGAAUGGUGAUGACUGCACAACAAUGCAAAUAUGCUAAUGUCACAGAAGUGUACACUUAAAAAUGGUUAGACGGUAAGUUUUCUAUUAUGUAUAUUUUACCACAAUUUUUUUUUAAAUGCAACAGAGUCUCGCUGUUGCCUAGGCUGGAGUGCAGUGGCAGGAUCUCAGCUCACUGCAACCUCCGCCUUCCAGGUUCAAGCGAUUCUUGUGCCUCAGCCUCCCAAGUAACUGGGAUUACAGGUGCCAGCCACCACGCCCAGCUAAUUUUUGUAUGUUUAGUAGAGAUGGGGUUUCACCAUGUUGGCCAGGCUAGGCUGUUCUCGAACUCCUGAACUCAGGUGAUCCGCCUGCCUUGGUCUCCCCCAGUGCCGAGAUUACACGCGUGAGCCACCACGCCGGGCCCCACAGUUUUUUGUUUUUGUCUUUUAAAUUUUUUUUAACAGCAUUUGUGUCUUUUUUUCUUUUUCUUUUGUUUUUGAAACAGAAUCUCACUCUGUCACCAAGCUGGAGUGCAGUGGCGCCAUCUUGGCUCACUGCAACCUCUGACUCCCUGGUUCAAGCAAUUCUCCUGCCUCAGCCUCUCCAGUAGCUGGGGUUACAGGCACGCACCACCCCGCCCAGCUAAUUUUUGUAUUUUUAGUAGAGAUGGGGUUUCACCAUAUUGGCCAGGGUGGUCUCCAUCUCCUGACCCCGUGAUCCACCUUGCCUUCCCAAAGUGCUGGGAUUACAGGUGUGAGCCACUGCACCCAACCUAAAUGGCAUUUGUUUCUUCCACUCCUCUCUGCCAGAAUAAUUUGGACAGCCUUUUCUGAGUUUCCCAUGACGACUUCUGUAUAAGAUUGUCGGAUAUAGCAAAUAAAAGUACAGUAUACCCAGGUAAAUUUUAAUUUCAGAUGAUCAAUGAAUAAUUUUUUAGUAUAAGUACAUUCCAACUAUUACAUGGGACAUAAGGGUAUUUUAUCUGAUCACCCUACUUUUGUGUCAAGUUAAAAUUAUUAGCAAAAGUGCUUCCGUUUUUAGGAAGUGCACACUGUACUCUAGUAGUUAGGCAGGAGAACAGGGUCUGCGAGCAGGGAACCUAAGGCCGUUUCACACUGACUUCCUAGAGCCAUUUGGAAAGGAAAACCCUAACUUUCCACUCCUAAGUAACAAAAGGCCCAGAGGCCACUCCCUUUGCAAACCCCCACCUUUUCUGUGCCGCAGCUGGAAAAUUGAAAGUGCCUCUGAUUGGUUGCUUUCUGCAACUAAUCAGAUGUUUGCAUAGAGUGUAACUUUGUAACUUCACUUCAGCCUCUGAUUGGUUGCUGUCCCCAACCAAUCAGACUGAUUGUGGGCCAAGGCUUCGUUUGAAUAGAAGUGCAACUUUGUAACUUCACUUUAGCCUCUGAUUGCAGGCCACCACUUCAUUUACAUGGGGUGAGCACCAAUGCGUUUUGUUCAAUUCUUUGUUCAAAACCCCAAGAAUCUGGACAACUUGCACUCAAGACCCUCUACGGGUUUGGCGAGCCAGUCUUUCAGUGGCUGUUUUCUAGUAGCUCCUUGGCAAUUGAGGGGAACUGGCUGGGACCACUCUCCAGUGCUGUCUGAAGGCCAAGGAGUGAACAGGGAUGGCUGCCCUGCCUUGAAGAGGGAAGGACUCUUUUCUAUCCUUUCCAGCUAUAGUCCCUGAUCCCUACAUGUGAUGCGGUUGGCAGCGGAAGCUCAUCCUGGGCGAACUCACACACUUUUCAGGAGACUUAAACCUUUUCUUAUGCUAAGUUCUUCCCUUCCCCUACUCAUCUGGCUAAAGGACAGACUAUGCAAAAAAGGUUAUACAAGUCAGAGGGUCUGAGCAUGUCGGAGGUGGUCUGUGUGGGGCAUGGGGUGGGGGGAAAAUUCAUGAAAGGCAAUUUAUUGCCUAAAUUUAAAGGGUUAAAGGGUUGCUUUAAGUGGGAUAGAAAAACCUUAAGGAAAGUUCAUAGUAGGUCCUCAGUGGUGGAGUGUUGUGGGAAGUCAGGGACCCUGAAUGAAGGGACUGGCUGAAGCCAUGGCAGAAGAACAUAAACUGUGAAGAUUUCAUGGACAUUUAUUAGUUCCCCAAAUUAACACUUUUAUAAUUUCUUACGCCUGUCUUUACUGCAAUCUCUGAACAUAAAUUGUGAAGAUUUUAUGGACAUUUAUCACUUCCCCAAUCAAUACUCUUGUGAUUUCCUAUGCCUGUCUUUACUUUAAUCUCUUAAUCCCGUCAUCUUCGUAAGCUGAGGAGGAUGUAAGUCGCCUCAGGACCCUGUGAUGAUUGUGUUAACUGCACAAAUUGUUUGUAGAGCAUGUGUGUUUGAACAGUAUCAAAUCUGGGCACCUUAAGAACAGGAUAACAGCAACGUUCAAGGAACAAGGGAGAUAAUCUUAACGUCUGGCUGCCUAUGGGCCGGGCAGAACAGAGCCAUAUUUCUCUUCUUUCUAAAGCAAAUAGGAGAAAUAUCGCUGAAUUCUUUUUCUCAGCAAGGAACAGCCCUGAGACAGAGAAUGUGUGCCUAGGGGUAGUCCUCCAAAAUGGCCACUCUGGGGACGGCUGUCUUUUAUGGUCGUAGAUAAGGGAAGAAAUAAGCCCCGGACUCCCAUAGUGCUCCCAGGCUUAUUAGGACGAGGAAAUUCCCACCUAAUAAAUUUUGGUCAGACUGGUUGUCUGCUCUCAAACCCUGUCUCCUGAUAAGAUGUUAUCAAUGACAAUGCGUGCCCGAAACUUCACUCGCAAUUUUAAUUUCGCCCUGGUCAUGUGGUCCCGUGAUCUCACCCUGCCUCCAUUUGCCUUGUGAUAUUUUAUUACCUUGUGAAGCAUGUGAUCUCUGUGACCCACACCCUAUUCAUACACUCCCUCCCCUUUUGGAAAUCACUAAUAAAAACUUGCUGGUUUUACGGCUUAGGGGGCAUCACAGAACCUGCCGACAUAUGAUGUCUCCCCUGGACACCCAGCUUUAAAAUUUCUCUCUUUGUACUCUUUCCCUUUAUUUCUCAGACCAGCCAACACUUAGGGAAAAUAGAAAAGGACCCACGUGAAAUAUCAGGGGCUGAAUUUCCCCCGAUAGUGGAGGGAACCAUCCCAAAGCAGUGCCAGCCCCCAUCUAAGGUCAGAGACAUCUGACAGACUAAAUCAGGGCCCUAAAGUAGGGACGCCCCUGGGGACCCCAGUCUGGGUUCAGAAUUUUUUCAGGGGGAUGCCCUGGGUAAAGUUUGGGUCACCUAAUGGGCCCUCUACUUUUCAAAGUCCUCUUCUCUGUUCCAGACCACUAUGGGCAACUCUCUAUCUAUUCGACCUGAUUCCACUAUGGGCAAUUCUACACCUGUUCCACCGGAUUCCUCACUUGGCUACAUCAUCCACCAUUGGAAUCAAUUUGACCCUGACACUCUAAAGGGAAAAUGUAUAAUUUUUUUCUGUAAUACUGUUUGGCCCCAUUAUGAGCUGCCCAGCCCCCAGCAAUGGGCAGUCAGUGGUAGCCUUAAUUAUGACACCAUCCUGCAAUUAGACCUACUUUGCAAGAGGCUGGGAAGAUGGUCAGAAGUCCCAUAUGUACAGGCUUUUAUCAAAAUAUCAAAAACCUAACAAUCUGUGAAACUCCCAGAACCCACCCCCCAAAGGAAAGUACUAAGGCAGAACUAGAUAUUAUAGAUGACCCUCUUUUACAAGGGCUAGCUGUCUCUCAGGGUGAACAGCAACCAUCCCCAUAAAGCCCCUUGCCAAGUGCUCCUGAGGCUAAAACCCAGGAGCAAACACCAGGGACCCUACUAAAUCCCCCUCACACUUGGAGAGGAAUGCCAUAUUCAAUUCUCUCUCCAGCCCUGCUACCUCUUAGGGAAGUAGCAGGAACCAAGGGGCCAGUCCUAGUGCAGGCCCCCUUCUCUAUAAUUUAUACAUACAAUAUAAGGAAAAGCUAGGAAACUAUUCUGAGAAUCCUAAGAAACUUGCAGAUGGGUUCCAGCGUUUGACCUUAGCCUCUGAUCUAUCAUGGAGAGAUGUUCAAUUCAUUCUAGCAACCUGUUACACACCCUCAGAAAAGGAAUGAAUCUCUGAGGCCGCCCACCUGCAAGCAAUGAAUUAUUUGCCCAAAACUCUCAGGGCAAUCAUCCCGGCCCAGACACAGUUCCCACUAUUGAUCAUAAUUGGGACUAUAACACUCCUGAGGAAAUGAACAACCGGGCUAAAUUUCUUGAGGCUCUCCUUGGAGGAAUGAGAAAGGGAAUAACUAAAGGCAGUAAAUUAUGAUAAAGUAAGGGAGGUUACACAAGGCAAGGAGGAAAAUCCAGCCAUGUUUUAUGGCAGGCUGGAGGGAGACUUUAAAAAAUAUACUAAUCUGGACCCUUCCUCUCCCGAAGGCAAAAUAUUAAUAGCACAGCAUUUCAUUAGCCAAUCUGCCCCAGACAUUAGAGAUAAGCUCCAAAAGCUACAGAUGGGGCCACAAACUAAUCAAAAUCAGCUUACUUAUAUCACAUUUAUGGUGUAUAACAAUCGUGACCUGAAGGAAGGAAAAAGGGAACAGAGUAAACAAAAUGGCAAGCCAAAAGUAUGGCAGCCAUCAUUGACGAUGCCCUGAAUGUACAAAGAGUGUCUAAGGGAAACCCGAAGGGCCAUAAAGAUAAUGCCAGCAAAGGCUCUUGCUUCAAAUGCAAGAAAAGAAGACAUUGGGCAAAGGAUUGUGCUAAGUCCCCGCCAGGCCCCUGCCGUCAAUGCAAGGGCACCAGUCAUGACCCCUGGCACUGGAGAAUUGACUGCCCAUGUUCCCACUGAGGGGCUCAGUCAGUCAAAACUCUAGCAGUGCAAAAGGAGGAAUUAGAUGAAGACUGAAGGGGCCUGAGGUCUUCCUCACUGCCCCUGUUCAGGAACAUUGUAAUUACUACUGAGGAGCCCCAGGUAACUCUGGACGUCAUGGGCACCCAAAUUCAGUUUCUUUUUGAUGCAGGAGCAAAUUACUCUGUUCUUACUGCUUAUGCAGUAAGGCGUUCCUCCCAGUCCACAAGUGUUAUGGGAAUAGAAUGGAAGCCACAAACGAGUUUUUAUUUUAUUUUAUUUUAUUUUAUUUUACUUUAAGUUCUGGGAUACAUAUGCAGAAUGUGCAGGUUUGUUACAUAGGUAUACAUGUGCCAUGGUGGUUUGCUGCACCUAUCGACCCAUCAUCUAGGUUUUAAGUCCCACAUGGAUUAGGUAUUUGUCCUAAUGCUCUUCCUCCCCUUGCCCCCAACCCCCCAACAGGCCUUGGUGUGUGAUGUUCCCCUCCCUGUGUCCAUGUGUUCUCAUUGUUCACCUCCCACUUAUUAGUGAGAACAUGCGGUGUUUGGUUUUCUGUUCCUGUGUUAGUUUGCUGAGAAUGAUGGUUUCCAGCUUCAUCCAUGUUCCUGCAAAGGACAUGAACUCAUUCUUUUUUAUGGUUGCGUAGUAUUCCAUGGUGUAUAUGUGCCAUAUUUUCUUUAUCCCGUCUAUCACUGAUGGGCAUUUGGGUUGGUUCCAAGUCUUUGCCAUGGUAAAUAGUGUUGCAGUAAACAUACAUGUGCAUGUAUCUUUAUAAUAGAAUGAUUUAUAAUCCUUUGGGUAUAUAUCCAGUAAUGGGAUUGCUGGGUCAAAUGGUAUUUCUGGUUCUAGAUCCCUGAGGAAUCACCACACUGUCUUCCACAAUGGUUGAACUAAUUUACACUCCCACCAACAGUGUAAAAAUGUUCCUACUUCUCCACAGCCUCACCAGCCUGUUUCCUGACUUUUUAAUGAUCACCAUUCUAACUGGUGUGAGAUGGUAUCUCACUGUGAUUUUGAUUUGCAUUUCUCUAACAACAAGUGAUGAGCAUUUUUUCAUAUGUUUGUUGGCUGCAUAAAUGUCUUCUUUUGAGAAGUGUCUGUUCAUAUCCUUUGCCUACUUUUUGAUGGGGUUGACAAACAAGAUUCAUUACUCCUCCUUUGAUUUGUCAAUUUGAGAAACAACUCUUCCAACAGGAUUUCCUAGUAGUACCAAGCUGCCCAAUCCCCCUGUUGGGAAGAGAUAUUAUGGUUAAAAUGGAGGCACUACUACAAUUUAAGCAUCACCCAUUGAAAUUGCUGAUAGUCAAAAAUACAGUGUUCCAGACCACAUUAAUAAAUAGGUUAACCCGCUGGCAUUGGUAUACUGGAAAACCAGGGAAGGCUAAAACAGCAGUGCCAGUCAAAAUACAUUUUAAAGACCUCAGCUAGUUUCCCAAUUGAAAAUAAUAUCCAAUUAAGCAGGAAGCAAGAAAAGGCCUAGCACCCAUAAUUGAGGUAUUACUUAUUACAUGGGCUCUUAAAAUCCUGUAAUUCCCCUUGCAAUACCUGUUCUAAAGCCUUUGGGGGAAUACCAGUUAGUAUAGGACUGGAGAAUACCGGUUAGUAUAGGACCUGAGAAUAAUUAAUGAGGCUGUUAUCCCCGUCCACCCACUGGUGGCAGAUCCAUAUACCCUUAUGGCUCAGGUACAAGGGGAUGCAAAAUGGUUCUCAGUCCUGGACCUAAAAGAUGCUUUCUUCUCCAUCCCUCUGGCCCCAGAGUCCCAAUACCUUUUUGCCUUUGAAUGGGAAAAUCAAUAUGAGGGAAAAACAGUAAUAUACCUGGACAGUGCACCCUUAGGGCAUUCAGGAUAGCCCCCAUUGGAUUGCCCGAGCCUUAGAGAGGGAUCUGAAGGAUCUGAAAGUGAAAAAUGGGAAUAUACUCCAGUAUGUGGAUGACUUUCUUGUGUGUAGCCCAAACCCAGGAGGUUUCUGACCAAACUACUAUAAAAACUUUGAAUUUCCUGGCAGACAGGGGAUACAAAGUGUCCGACAAGAAGGCACAGAUUAUCCUCCAAUGGGUGCAAUAUUUAGGGUAUGUCUUAACACCCAGAGCCUGACAAAUAUCCCC
RNAcentral lists this long non-coding RNA (9695 nucleotides) under Homo sapiens (human). RNAcentral's name for it is "non-protein coding lnc-GPR183-47:3". Lineage: Eukaryota; Metazoa; Chordata; Mammalia; Primates; Hominidae. The record is from RNAcentral.